This 433-nucleotide ribosomal RNA is filed under the name uncultured bacterium. RNAcentral describes it as "partial 16S ribosomal RNA". It matches the Rfam family "Bacterial small subunit ribosomal RNA", at positions 29 to 507 of the family's 1533-position model. The record is from RNAcentral.
AGCGAACGCUGGCGGCAGGCCUAACACAUGCAAGUCGAACGGAUCCUUCGGGAUUAGUGGCGGACGGGUGAGUAACACGUGGGAACGUGCCCUUUGGUUCGGAACAACUCAGGGAAACUUGAGCUAAUACCGGAUGUGCCCUUCGGGGGAAAGAUUUAUCGCCAUUGGAGCGGCCCGCGUCUGAUUAGCUAGUUGGUGAGGUAACGGCCCACCAAGGCGAGGAUCAGUAGCUGGUCUGAGAGGAUGAUCAGCCACACUGGGACUGAGACACGGCCCAGACUCCUACGGGAGGCAGCAGUGGGGAAUCUUGCGCAAUGGGCGAAAGCCUGACGCAGCCAUGCCGCGUGAAUGAUGAAGGUCUUAGGAUUGUAAAAUUCUUUCAGCGGGGACGAUAAUGACGGUACCCGCAGAAGAAGCUCCGGCUAACUUCGUG